AUUUGCGAUAGAUCAUCCGCUCAAAUAUAAUUUUACAACAUAAUCUUUUAUUUCCUGCAUUUUAAUUAAGCUGAGGAACAUGUUGAUCUAAGAAAGCCUGAGCUAAAUUACUGAAGCUUGUACUAACUCCACCUGCAGCUGCAUAACUCUUGAUUGCAUCAAUUACUUCUGGCUUUAAGAUCUCUUCCUUGUUUGAUGCAUUGCAUAGAUAAUACAAUGCUCCUAGAGCGUAAUUCACCGUGUUCCUAACAGGACUUGACAAACACUGGAUGACGAGAGGGAUACCAUCAUUUUGAGUGACAAGAGCAGCAUUAGCUGGAUCGGAACAAGCAUUGCAGAUUCCUCCAAUCCCAAAUUCCACAAGCUUCUCACUAGGCUCAGUUAAACAGUCGAGAAAAAGUUCUAUAACAUUAAGCUGGCGCAAAAAGGUAAAGUUGAAAGGAUCAUAUGCAAAGUUCGCCAAAUUAGCAACGAUCUUCUCUUUUGUCUCUUCAGCAGAAGCAUUCUGAAACUGAUUCACCAAUUCCUGAAGGUACUUCACCCUUGGAGUCCCAUAUUUUCCGGUGCGCUCUUCUUGCCUUUGGCUAUUUGUAAACAUGUAAACUGCAAUAAGGGAAGAGGAACAUAUAAAAUUAAAUAUUUUUAACAUUUAACAACCAUACACAGACUAGAUUACAGCAACCAUAUAACUAUGCAUCAUGCAAAUAGGAUUAUUUACUACAUAUUAAGUCUCAUUUACUGUUAGUUAGAGCAACGAAAACGAGUUUAAGAGAAACUCCUGUAGGAAAAAGCAAUUGUUAAUCCUUGUAUUAGUAAGAUCAUUCUUCGUUUCUUCUCAACCCUUGCCACAACCGAAAUCCUUCUCACUAUUGCACCUUCAGCUCCUCUUAACCAGUCCCAGAUGAAUCUUCAUUUCUCAUAGCCUCGAAUCCUCCAAUUUCUGUUCCUUGAUCCAAGGUUUCAGCGAUGAACAAGGAAUUUUUUAGCGAAUUUCUCUAUCUCCGUUUUUGAGCAUGGGCGUUUUUUAUUUCUCUCAAAUCUGUAUG
RNAcentral lists this unclassified non-coding RNA (1046 nucleotides) under Hevea brasiliensis (rubber tree). The record is from RNAcentral. Lineage: Eukaryota; Viridiplantae; Streptophyta; Magnoliopsida; Malpighiales; Euphorbiaceae.